GAGGCAAAGAAAAACAAAUUUUCCAAAUUAUGGAAGAAAGAACACAAAUAGAACAAAAAAAAGCCCAUUGUAGUGCAAAGUGUCAAAAAUCUUCUAUUCUGAGGUCGUGACCAAGAUCCUCAGGCCCCUGAUAAGGCAAAGAGGGAGCAACACACAAAAUGCUGGUAGAACACAGCAGGCCAGGCAGCAUCUAUAGGAAGAAGCACUGUCGACGUUUCAGGCCGAGACCCUUCGUCAAGACUAACUGAAAGAAAAGAUACCUCCAUACCAGAUGUUGAUGCAACCAGUCAGGAUACUCUCCUCCGUACAUUUGUGGAAACUUGCUGAAGUCUUUGGUGACAUACCAGAUCUCCUCAAACCUCCACUGAAGUAUAGCCACCGGCGUGCCUUCUUUAUGAUUGCAUCAAUGUGCUGGACCCAGGAGAUGCUGUCGCCCAGGAACUUGAAGCUGCUCACCCUUUCCACCGCUGACCCCUCAUUGAGGGAGGCUGGUUUCCACAAUCUGUGGGGCUAUAUCAACAACUCCACAGUUUCUUGUGGCCAUGAGUGGGGCAGUUGCCAAACCAAGCUGUAUGGGAUAGUUUCUAUGGCGCAUUAAUAAAAAUUGGUAAGGGUUAACAGGGACAUGUCAAAUCUCUUUAGUAUCCUAAGGAAGUAGAAGCAUCAGUGAGCUUUGCUGGCCAUGGAUUCCACAUGGUUCAUCCAGGACAGGCUGUUGAUGAUAAUCACUCCUAGGAACUUGAGGCUCUCAACCUGAUGUAGACAGGAUAUUCACCACCACCACCAUCCUGAAGUCAAUGACCAGCUCCUUGUUUUGCUAACACAGAGAGAAAGGUUGCUGUUAUGACACUAUGCUACUAAGCUCUCUGUCUCCUUCCUGUACUCCAAUUCAUUGUUAUUUGAGAUACAGCUGACAACAAUGAUAGCAUCUGAAAACUUGUGGCUGAAGUCAGAGUCAAAUCUAACUGUGCAGUCAUGUGUGCACAGGGAGUAGAGUAGGGAGCUGAGACACAAACUUGAAGAGAACCAGUGUUUAGAAUCACUGUGGUUGAGGUGUUGCUAUCUGUCCUUACUGAUCAUGGUCUGUUGGCCAGGUAUACGUCUAGGGGAAGAACUCCAGCCACUCUCCCACCUCCCGUAUACGCUGUGGAAAACAAGUUAAUGCAGUGACACACACACAAUAUCAAACUCACACCAGAUACCAUUAUAGAAUAUACUUUAAAGAUUUUACGAGAACUGAAAGGUUACUAACAAUACAGUAUAUAUGAAGGAAAAUAAAAUAAAAUAAAAGGUGCCAAAACUUAAAAGAGUUCAGUUAGUUUAGUGCAUAUUGUUGGAGCUCAACCAUCGAACCACUCGACCCCUCGUCGCUUUCCACCAACCUCCACGUCCUUGCACCUGGGACCACCCUGGUGGUCGACCGAGCAGUGCCGCACACGUCCAACUUCCUUGGCGUCCUCUUCCCGACUCCCUGAAAAGACCGCAAAAACCCCCCAGCUCCCAGACCCACAAGACAAAAUAACAUUUCCCCGUUGGUUAACAAAUGAAUACAAUCCGGAUAUCAGCAAGUCUAAAGCCAAGCAGCUGCGAGAGACAGCAAUUAUCAUACAAAGAAGCAUUCCUACUCUUAACAAAACAAAGAAGCCAUUUUGAUUAACAUACACAGUACAUUGUACAUUUUUAGUCACAGUUAUUUUGUAAAUAACACUUCUUUGCAUUUCUGAUUAGAUGCUAACUGCAUUUCAUUGGCUUUGUAUGUGUACUUGGCACAAUGACAAUAAAGUUGAAUCUAAUCUAAUCUAACAAGCCUCUUGAAGAACUUUGUGGUCGUGGAUUUCAGAAUCACUGGGCAAGAGUCUAAAUUACAUUGCCUUGUUUCCCUUAGGUAGCAGGAUGAUAGCCAUCUUCUCGAAGCAGGUGUAAACCUCAGACUGAAGUAGGCAAAGGGUAAAAAUGUUUGCAAAUACCUCCACCAACUAAUCUGUACAGGAUCUAAGGACACCAUCUCGGCAGGCCAGAUGCCUUCUGCAAGUUCACUCUCCGGAAGACAGCUCUUAUAUCUGCAAAAUUGUCUGGGUUCAGGUGCAUUGGAAGCUAUCAGUGCUGCCAGGAUAAUCAAGGACAAGACCCACCCAGCCAACACACUUUUUGUCCCACUUCCCUCCGGGAGAAGGUUCAGGAGCAUGAAGAUUCGUAUGGCCAGAUUUGAGAACAGCUUCUUUCCAACUGUGAUAAGACUGCUGAACAGAUCCUGACCCGGAUCUGGGCCGUACCUUCCUAAUAUCUGGACCUGA
Molecule: long non-coding RNA, 2294 nt
Organism: Hypanus sabinus (Atlantic stingray)
Lineage: Eukaryota; Metazoa; Chordata; Chondrichthyes; Myliobatiformes; Dasyatidae
Exons: 3
Source: RefSeq, a predicted model, not a curated record